UACGUAGGGUGCAAGCGUUAAUCGGAAUUACUGGGCGUAAAGCGUGCGCAGGCGGCUUUGCAAGACAGAUGUGAAAUCCCCGGGCUUAACCUGGGAACUGCAUUUGUGACUGCAUGGCUGGAGUGCGGCAGAGGGGGGUGGAAUUCCACGUGUAGCAGUGAAAUGCGUAGAGAUGUGGAGGAACACCGAUGGCGAAGGCGGCCCCCUGGGAUGAGACUGACGCUCAUGUACGAAAGCGUGGGGAGCAAACAGG
RNAcentral lists this ribosomal RNA (253 nucleotides) under uncultured bacterium. RNAcentral describes it as "partial 16S ribosomal RNA". It matches the Rfam family "Bacterial small subunit ribosomal RNA", at positions 524 to 776 of the family's 1533-position model. The record is from RNAcentral.